CCAUACCUCUAAGUUGAAAACCCACGAGUAUUGAAGAAGAAAGAACUCAAAAUCUUCAAUCCUAGCUCCAACUUCUUCUUCUUCUUCUUCCCUCUUCUUCUCUUCUUCACUCAAGAACCCUAACUCUUACUCUUUUAAAAUGGAACAAAAAUGAUCCACAAUCAGCCUAACACAAUAAUAUAACCUCAAAAGAAAAGAUUUGUGAAAAGACCAAAAUGCCCUUAAAUUUCCGGACGGACUCCUUGCUAACUGCCCAACUUUCAAAGGGCAUAACUCG
This 277-nucleotide long non-coding RNA is filed under the name Solanum tuberosum (potato). RNAcentral describes it as "long non-coding RNA (STUB_LNC006333)". Lineage: Eukaryota; Viridiplantae; Streptophyta; Magnoliopsida; Solanales; Solanaceae. The record is from RNAcentral.